This 3455-nucleotide long non-coding RNA is filed under the name Equus asinus (donkey). RNAcentral describes it as "lncRNA (ENSEASG00005036467.1)". Lineage: Eukaryota; Metazoa; Chordata; Mammalia; Perissodactyla; Equidae. The record is from RNAcentral.
GCCGCUGCGAUUGGCUGGCGGCGAUGGUGGGGCGUGUCCGUGGGCGGUGCGCGGCCGCCUGGCUGGCGGCCGUUGGCUGGAGGCGGCGGCGCCCGAGCUAGCGCCCCUUCCCGGCGCCUCCUCCUUAGCGCCUGCGGGACCCCGCCGCCCAUGGGCGCCCCGCCGCGCCAGCAGCACCCCGCUCCGCCCCCCGGCUUGCGCCGCCCGGGCCCCCGCCGGGCCCCGACACAGGCGACGUCCUGCAGCCGAUCGAGGCCCUCACCUACCAGAGCCUGGACGAGGCGUGGGCCAGAAAGCAUGCUCUGAAUUGCCAUCGGAUGAAGCCUGCUGUCUUCAGUGUGCUCUGUGAGAUCAAGGAAAAGACAGUUUAUAACUGGAGAAGUACUUUUGCCAAUGUGUGACAAGCAGCUGCAUUCGUCUUAAGCAAUACCUAAGAGGCACCGUGGCAUUCAGUUGUUUUGGAAAAGGAAAAGAUGAUAAAAAAAGAUUUGCAGAAAAGUUGAAAAAAUAGUACAGAGAGUUCUGCUGUAUCCUUCUCCCAGCUUCCUCUAAGGUCAACCACCUUCAGAACCACACUGCAAUGAUCGAAAUCAGGAAAUGAACCUCGUGCAGCACUGGACCUGAACAGGAAACUGGAGAGCUGUGGAUGCGCAGUCUGGGCACAUCUCAUUCUUUGCUCCGUCUGAUUCUGUAUGUACAUAUAUGACUGCAGCUGUCCAUCAGCUUCCGAACUCAGCAGUUUCAGGAGAAAAAGAAGGGAUUGAUACCUGCUACCACCAGAGCAGGCUGAGGUGUCCAUUUUAGCCACUCAGUCGCCCUGUCCCAUCCUCCCAGGGCGCAAGGGCCAUGCUUGGGGCUUCUGACUCGCCCCAGGCUGAGUCCCAAGGAGGCUGUGGGGCUCAGUGCACAAGCCACACACAUUACAUCUGGGCAUUGCUUCCGAAAGUCACGCUUCCUUUCCUCCAACUGACUCAAACAUCAGUGUGCAGGGUGUGGGUGCAUUUUGAGCUUGCACGUGCGGGGAUGGCCCCACAAGGGAAGAUUGCACGUCUCCUUCUUGAUUUAACUCACAUUUAUCACAUUUCCCCUCUGGCUAAAGUCUUCGGCAUGUCAUUAAAGACCAAACCUGCGCAGAGCAUUUGACCACCCCUCCCCCCCAGUGGCCAUUGUUGGAGCUCCAUGCUUCCCUGCAUUAACGCCCCAACCUUCCAGCGGCCUGGGAGCAGACGCUUACUCCUGUUUUACAGAUAAGCAGAGUGAAGCUCCAGAGAGAGACCAUCGCACCCCAUUAAGCCACAACCAAGUUGCACCCUGUCCUGGCUCAGGAAGGGAACCCUCCCUGUGCUUCACUGCCUGUGGCUCCCAUCCCACCCCCCACCCCGCAGGCUGUCUUUGAGUCCACUGCCCUCACUGCAUCCAUGAUGGCUCCUGGCCUCUGCCAUCUGUCUCCCUUAGCCAGUGCAAGGUCUAGGGUGUCCUGUGAUCUAGGACUGUCUUAGUUCCUUGCAUGCAGUGCAAGUCCCUCACGUUUUUGUUGAAUGAAGACUUUCUGCUGAUGAUACCUAUUAAGUGAAAUCCUUUUCAUCCUGUUCACUUUACGAGGUUCAGGAAGACUGAAUGUCUGGGGCCUGACUGAGAACACAAGGCUUAUUGUUCAUAUCAUUCUGAAAAGAAAGCCACUCGCCACGUAAACCCAGUGUUGGCAGAUGUUCCUGGAAGCACUGCCUCAUGAGUUCCAGGGUGAGUUGCCUUCCGAUGCUUCCUCCGGCCUGUGGGAGGGACACGAGUGCAUCUUCCAGGUCGGUGUGCAGGCAGGCGCUCCACCUGUGUUCUCUGCAGUGUCUGGGUGGUCCUGCCUAAGGCAGUCUAAGAAAGCCAAGGGCAUUCUAGGAGUGGCCCCUCCCUCCAAAAUCCUUCCCUUAAAACAGACGUCCUGGGGUGGGCCCCAUGGCACAGUGGUUAAGUUUGGCACACUCCGCUUCAGUGCCCAGAUCCCUGGCACAGACCUACACCACUCGUCAGCCAUACUGUCACUGUGACCCACAUAUAAAGCGAAGGAAGAUGGGCACAGAUGUUAGCUCAGGGCUAAACUUCCUCAAGCAAAAAGAGGAAGAUUGGCAAUAGAUGUCAGCUCAAGGCUAAUCUCCUCAGCAAAAAAAAAAAAAAAAAAAAAACCCGAAAAACAGCAGUCUUUCUUUGUAUCUAGAGGAGUUGUCCUGAGGAGUACAAAAUAAACCCUUUUCGGAGAGUUCUGAAUUUAGCUGGGAAGACCAAAUGCAUACUGGCCCCAUCCCUUUCCCGAAACCGUAGGGGCUAGGUGUAUUACAGGAUUCGGAAUUGUUUGGGUUUUAGCUACAUUAUGUUGAUGAGGACUGAGGCAGAGCCUGCAUUCAAACGAUGGCUUUUAGCACAGAGCAGGAACAUUCUUACACAGGCUCUGCCUCCAGAUGCACUUGCGUGCUAACUUGUACAAAAGCCUUUGGACCUUGGAUUGCGGGUGUGCAGGCAGUUUGGACCCUGUGUGCGCAGGAAGCCCCUUGAAGAGCCACUUGGUAUCAGGGCAGUUCACACAGAGGGACCUGCUUUGUCUUCUGGCUGUGACUGUCCCCCAAGCUGGUCUCAAGAGCACAUCUGUGCCUCAGUUUGGUUGGUUUUGGGGUCACUGUGUCACUGAGGAACGAGAAGUCCCAGCUCCACCAACCUUGCUCUCGGGCCAAGGAAACCUUGCUGUGCCACGGGGGAACCAAUGGCUGCCUUUCAGGGGAAAGAAUGUAAAUAAUUCAUAAUAUAAUAGGGAACACCUAUUAUUUACUGACCAGUGUUCACUGUCCCGGCUAGGAGCUGUCAGGCAAAAGUAAUCCGGCAGGUUUGUUUACCUUUGUUUCCCUUCCUCAUCAGCUAGUUAGGUCUGUUGCAAUUGCAAAAUCAUGAUCUGUAGGUCCAGCCUUCUGGUUGGGUCUGUCCCAGCAGUUACCCUUUGGGCCAGCGUGUGACUUCUGGAACUCGGAUCUCUUUUCUGACUGACUCUUCCCCAGGGCUGAGUCCCAUCUACCACAUUUCCUUAGGGCUGUGCUGGGAGUGGAUCUCCUAGAGCUGGGGAGCUAUUUCCCAGGUUGCCUGGAACGUCCUUUCCCGGCCCCGAGUCUCAGGGUGACUGGUGAAUUGAGCCUCCAAUCCUAACUGCUCCUGUGCAGCUGUAGACUGUGCGGAGCUUUGGUCCCUGCCACGCAGCCGCUGGUCUCCAUGGGGGCUAUUUACAUUUGAAAUAAUUGAAAUUAAAUAUAAUUAAAGCCACAUUUCAAGUGCUCAGUAGCUUCAUACAGCUGGUGACUCCUGUAUUAGACAGCAUAGGUCUAGAACAUUAAGAAAGUUCUGUUGAACAGACAGGUGGAUUAUUUUAAACAAACGUACAGGUCAAGCACUAUGAAAAAAACCCAACGUCCAUGAUGACUGGA